UGCCUGUCCGAGCGUCAUGAGACCAAUCAAGCUUUGCUUGGUAUUAGGCCGUGCCAGCAAUGGCAGGCCCCAAAUCUAGUGGUAGUGCCGUAGGCUCUGAACGUAGUAACAUCUCCCGUUAUGGACGUCCGCGGUAGGCGACCAUGAACCCAACUCUUCGGUUUGACCUCGGAUCAGGUAGGGAUACCCGCUGAACUUAA
This 200-nucleotide unclassified non-coding RNA is filed under the name soil metagenome. RNAcentral's name for it is "partial contains internal transcribed spacer 2 and large subunit ribosomal RNA". The record is from RNAcentral.